RNAcentral lists this long non-coding RNA (3359 nucleotides) under Equus caballus (horse). RNAcentral describes it as "lncRNA (ENSECAG00000051712.1)". Lineage: Eukaryota; Metazoa; Chordata; Mammalia; Perissodactyla; Equidae. The record is from RNAcentral.
GCUUCCUAAACUGCAGAUCUAGAGGGGUCAAGCAAGCAGACGGGGGCCUAGGUGGUUCUUUCGGGGCCAGAUGGAGAGAGUUAACACAGGACUUCUUUCCAUCUGGGUCUACAAGGCUGGAGCCAAAAUGGGGAUGCUCAGAAGACAAUGAGUUGAGAUUCCUGGAGGCAACAGGGUGGUAGACCGUGAGAAUGUUUCUAAAAGGAUCUGAUGGUCAUUCUGGUCCCCGGAGGAAUUACAGGGAAGCUGAACAGGUGGUUUGAAUCCUCCUUGCCUCUGAGACUGGCCAAGAGUGAGCCUCUGCAGCUAAGGAGAUGUGGGAACAGUGUGAUUUAGUCCUGCUCCCCCAAUAGCAGGACCUGAGCCCCAGUGAUUGAAGAUUAACCUAUAUAAAAUGAGUUUUUCUCUUUUCUUUCUAUUUUUGUUUCUGCAAUGUCUGAAUUUGUUGCUGCAUUUUUUUCCCCAGUUCAAACCAUGGUAAUAGGUUUUAGUUCCAGAUAAAUGGCAUUGUUUCCAAUUAGAUGCAAUGCAAUACAUGCCUCUGCAUAUGUAUCCCAUCCUCACCCUCUCUCCUCCCUUCUCUCCUCAUGAAGGCAGCAUCCCAGCCCAUCUAGUCCACUAAUCUCUUCCUCUGAACCCCAUAUAGCACUCACCUUUAGUAAAACACAUUUUGGAACCUAAAGAUCUAAUGUUUUUCUUGUUGAAAUCACCUUUUUAUAGUGUAAGGUCAUCUCAGGCCACCAACAUUCCCCAUAGGAGCUUUAACAAUUGCCUGCUUAUCUAGCCUCUCAGUCUACAUCUCAUUCAAUCUAUCCCCCCUCUUUGCCUCUAGAAUACUCAUUUUAAUCUGCAGAUUUGGUCCUUGUUUAAUACUUCACCGGCUAUCCUUUGCUUAUAGACAGAAGUCCAAAGGCUUAGAUUGGCCAGCAAAACCCUCCAUCAUGUCUUCUACUUGCACUGCACUCUAUCCUCUGUGCUGAACUAUUUGGAGUCCCUGAGUACAUCAUUAUUGCUCUGUUCUUCUGCACAUUUGAACAUGCCUUUUUCUCUGCCUAGAAUUCCCUUCUCCCUCAUAUUCAGAGCAGACUCUGUUCAACUUAAAGAUUCAGCUCAGAGAUCGCCCUGAGGAGCCUUCCCAAACCUGCUGGUUAGAUCUGAUCACACCUUUCUUGUGUGUUUGCUUGUAUCUUGUUAUUACCUCUAAUGUUGCACUUAUCACAUACUGUGGAAAUACUUUUUUGUUAACAUGUCUAUGUCGUCUACUAAAUCAAAUGCCCUUUGAGCCUUGGAUAGGGCCAGGUACAUAGUUGAUGCUCAAUAAAUGCUCGUUUUAAGAGCUAUAGAUAUAUAGCUAUGACAAAUGAAGGAAUAAUGUGUAACUUGUCUCCAUAUUGUCCUAAAAGACUCACAUUAAGCCUAUUUCCUAAAUCAUUGACUAUGUUCUCCAAAUUUGUCAAACUAAAAUUUAGCCCAGUAUUUAUAUUGAUGCCUUUAUAUUCACCCAGAAAAGUUGGGUCUGAUCAGAGUCAGGAAUGGGACAGAGAGAGGAGGGAUGGGAGGGGAGAAUUCCCUCCAUCUGCCUUUCUGAUGCCCAAAUCUACUACAAAUGGAGCCAGUUAUGGAAAGUGGUCAUUCUGCCACGUAGGAAAAGAAAACUUAUCUCUGUGGCUUUCUGCAAUAUACCAAAGUGUUGUAUGCUGUCCCCCUUCAACUGAGAAGCUGUCAGUCCAAGGUGGGAUGAAAGCUUCCACGAGAUCAAGCCAUUCACGUAUAGAAUCCGUGCACUGAAGCCCAGAUUCAGCCUCACACCUGUCUGCACCUUCUUGCCUCACUUCUGUUUAUCCCAUUUAUGUCCGUGAUGCUAGUUUGUACCCUUGCGCCUUCUGGGGACUAAGAAGCCUGCUGCCAAUUAUGCUUAUCUUCCAAUUGUUCCGUUGAAGCUUAAUUGGUGCCUUGUUGGCAGCAGUUUCACAGCAACCUAGACGAGGGUUUAACCUCUUGCUUGGUUGGCUGUAUGCAGGAUCACCUACUUCACUGCAAUUAGAGAAUCGUAUCACAGAGAUGAAUAGCGUGAUCACUUUCUGAAUUACUUGUGACUUGGUCUUAAGAAGAUUAUUUAAGAUUUGUUUUUUCUUUCCCCAGGAAAUCAUAGUAAUACCAAGAAGCUAAGAGGAAAAAUAAAUGAAGAGGGGAAAUUUAGGUCUUACUAUUCCUUAUAUGGAGGAUGGUGUCCACUGGUUAGAACACUGCAUGACUGGAAAAAUAGCACUUCUGUCAAGCAAAAUAUAAGAAAGUGAGAUGAAUAAAGUGUACUGGAAACUUUCAUUUCCUGCUGCCUCACUGCUGCCUGGUCCCUUCAGAUGGAUCUGUGUCCUCCUGUGUGACAGGUAUUGGGCCAAGGUGAACACCUGGCCUAGGAUUGGUCCAUCCAUUGCUUACCAGUGACCCAGGACUUGAGUGGAUGGUCUGGCCUGAAUAGAUGAGCUACCACAAUCUGAUUUUCCCUCUCUGGACAUGGAUCCAGAAUAUUCAGCAGUAAGUUACCAACUCAAGGAUCUAUAGGCCUAAUGAAGAGGCUGCCAUUUAUGGUCAUGUUUAAGAUGGUUAAGUACAAAAAAAGUGAACAAUAGAAAGGAAAAUGACAGAAAUAUUCUAAGAUGCACUGAAGUGGUGAGAGAAAUGGAGACAAGAAAAUGACUGCUCCCCAAAUUUACCUUGGAUUCUCUCCAUCCUUUGGCCUGGGUGUUUUUUCUUCGUUUCCUAUGAUACUUUACUGGGUUUAAAAUAAAUUCUUUUUCUUUCUUAAGCGGGUUUGAGUGAUUUUUGAUUUAUAAGGUACUUAAAUGGAAGAGAGAGUUUAUUGCUGGAGAUUAUAUAGCUAAUAAUUAGAGGCAAAACUCAGGCAUACCCGACCCUUAAGAUCUCUCCCAGCUCUAAGCUCCAUCUUUUCUCCUAAGAACUUCUCAAUAUUUACUAGGAUCCUCCCAAAAGGCUCAAAGAAUGGGUCAGAUUUUGUGGAUUCUAAGCAUCGUGGCACUCUGUUAAAAGACAGAGCUUGCAGCAACCUUCAAAUUAAGCCACGUAGGCAGCCACCUACUUUGUUAACGAACAUUGCUGUUUCGUUGGUUUUAAGGUAAGGGUAAUUUAGACCAAUGCCUUGAAGAAACGUUGUAAAUUACCGCUUGGAGAGCUUUACAUUCUCUUUCAAGAACAGCCCCUGUCUUCAUUGUAACAACCGUGCUUUUUCUGGAGAGACUAUGCCUGCAGUAACUCUUCAUGUAUAACAUCAUAGGCGCCUGGAUCACUUCUGUUGUAAUGUAAUCCAGUUCAUGUUUAUUCUAUUUUACAAUUAACUUGGG